ACKGCUCAGUAACACGUGGACAACCUGCCCUUAGGACGGGGAUAAACCCGGGAAACUGGGUAUAAUACCCGAUAGGUCUCGAUUGCUGGAAUGCAUCGAGAUUUAAAGCUCCGGCGCCUAAGGAUGGGUCUGCGGCCUAUCAGGUAGUAGUGGGUGUAGCGUACCUACUAGCCUACGACGGGUACGGGUUGUGAGAGCAAGAGCCCGGAGAUGGAUUCUGAGACACGAAUCCAGGCCCUACGGGGURCAGCAGGCGCGAAAACUUUACAAUGCUGGCAWCAGCGAUAAGGGAACCUCGAGUGCCAGGUUACAAAUCUGGCUGUCGAGAUGCCUAAAAAGCAUUUCAUAGCAAGGGYCGGGCAAGACCGGUGCCAGCCGCCGCGGUAACACCGGCGGCUCGAGUGGUAACCGUUAUUAUUGGGUCUAAAGGGUCUGUAGCCGGCCGGAUAAGUCUCUUGAGAAAUCUGGCAGCUUAACUGUCAGGCUUUCAGGAGAUACUGUCUGGCUCGAGGCCGGGAGAGGUGAGAGGUACUUCAGGGGUAGGGGUGAAAUCUUGUAAUCCUUGAAGGACCACCAGUGGCGAAGGCGUCUCACCAGAACGGACCUGACGGCAAGGGACGAAAGCUAGGGGCACGAACCGGAUUAGAUACCCGGGUAGUCCUAGCCGUAAACGAUACUCGCUAGGUGUCGGCCACGGUGCGACCGUUGUCGGUGCCGUAGGGAAGCCGUGAAGCGAGCCACCUGGGAAGUACGGCCGCAAGGCUGAAACUUAAAGGAAUUGGCGGGGGAG
Molecule: ribosomal RNA, 790 nt
Filed under: uncultured archaeon
Lineage: Archaea
Description: bacterial SSU rRNA
Rfam family: Archaeal small subunit ribosomal RNA
Source: RNAcentral